UUUUGUUUUCGGCCUCUCAGGAACUACUCCUAUGCGAGAGGUGCAUAGAGUUGUUUCUUGAUAGAGCUAAACCACUUGUUUGUGCAUUCUUACUAAGCAGUUUAAUUCAAUAGAUAGCAAGUUCGUCAUGGAAGGUGGACUUAUGUACGUACUCAUACCCAAAGCUGUAGACAAGCCUUUUUUUUGUUGCAUAAAAUGGUUAACCUCGGAAAUCCUACACUUGUGAAGUGGCAGGGCGAUAGCAAGGGCGAGCCAAGUUACUAUUACUGGAUUAGGCCUAGGGUGUAUAACAUAAGCAUAACUUGAUGAAUUUGCCUGACAUGUUUUAUUAUUUCUGUCUGUCUCUCGGUAGUUGACCUGUGACAGCGAUCUUCUCUUCAUGUGGUUUUCCGCAGGUUUACAAUUUUGGGGGAGGCGGCUGCUGCAAUGUUUAAAAUUGCCUCACCAGCAGCGGUUGCCUCUGCAGCCACCUACCAAGUACCACUGCAUGCCAACUCAAACCCGUGGAGUCGCAGGAAGAUUUAGCAUCCAGAUCUGGGCACCUGUCGGCCUGCCAAUGGCUCCCAAUUCCUCUCUGGGAGCACUGAAUCCUGUAUGCCUUGGUGACUUCCGCGCGUGGUUGCUGAUUUAAAGAACGUGGUCGGUCUUGUCAUCUUGUGCAAGGAUGCCUACAUGUUUGCAAAUUGCAGCAGUUGCUAUCACUGCCUUGUUCGUCUCAUAUACAGUAGUGGCUCACCUUUGCUAUCAUUGCUGUAGCUUUUGCGCGCCCGUGGUAGGAGUAGGAGAAUCGUAGAGGUUCACCUUUGCUAUCAUUGCUGUAGCUUUUGCGCGCUCGUGGUAGGAGUAGGAGAAUCGUAGAGGUUCACCUUUGCUGGGUGAAGGUCACUGUCACCUGUGUUCAUAUACAGUAGCUGAGCACGUCGAUAGAGUAAAUCUCUUUCUCUUUUCGCCGCAACGUGUUAGAAGCGUGGUAGGAACUGGAGAGCGAGGCCAACGGGCAAAGGAACCUAGGACGUGACGAGAAGCCCAUACUCCUUUUAUCACACGUUCUGGGAAUCUCGGUACGCUUUGGCUGCUUUGUCUAUCAUGGGUAGAGAGUCAAGCGGCGGCUUAGUUCACU
RNAcentral lists this long non-coding RNA (1120 nucleotides) under Triticum aestivum (bread wheat). RNAcentral's name for it is "long non-coding RNA (TAES_LNC014287)". The record is from RNAcentral. Lineage: Eukaryota; Viridiplantae; Streptophyta; Magnoliopsida; Poales; Poaceae.